This 532-nucleotide ribosomal RNA is filed under the name uncultured bacterium. RNAcentral's name for it is "bacterial SSU rRNA". It matches the Rfam family "Bacterial small subunit ribosomal RNA", at positions 977 to 1509 of the family's 1533-position model. The record is from RNAcentral.
GGCCUUGACAUACUAAGGACUUUCCAGAGAUGGAUUGGUGCCUUCGGGAACUUAGAUACAGGUGCUGCAUGGCUGUCGUCAGCUCGUGUCGUGAGAUGUUGGGUUAAGUCCGCAACGAGCGCAACCCUUUUCCUUAUUUGCCAGCGGGUAAUGCCGGGAACUUUAAGGAUACUGCCAGUGACAAACUGGAGGAAGGCGGGGACGACGUCAAGUCAUCAUGGCCCUUACGGCCAGGGCUACACACGUGCUACAAUGGUCGGUACAAAGGGUUGCUACCUCGCGAGAGGAUGCUAAUCUCAAAAAGCCGAUCGUAGUCCGGAUCGCAGUCUGCAACUCGACUGCGUGAAGUCGGAAUCGCUAGUAAUCGCGGAUCAGAAUGCCGCGGUGAAUACGUUCCCGGGCCUUGUACACACCGCCCGUCACACCAUGGGAGUUUGUUGCACCAGAAGUAGGUAGUCUAACCGCAAGGAGGACGCUUACCACGGUGUGGCCGAUGACUGGGGUGAAGUCGUAACAAGGUAGGCGUAGAUGA